AUUGAACGCUGGCGGCAGGCCUAACACAUGCAAGUCGAACGGUAACAGGAAGCAGCUUGCUGCUUUGCUGACGAGUGGCGGACGGGUGAGUAAUGUCUGGGAAACUGCCCGAUGGAGGGGGAUAACUACUGGAAACGGUAGCUAAUACCGCAUAACGUCGCAAGACCAAAGAGGGGGACCUUAGGGCCUCUUGCCUUCGGAUGUGCCCGGGUGGGAUUAGCUAGUAGGUGGGGUAACGGCUCACCUAGGCGACGAUCCCUAGCUGGUCUGAGAGGAUGACCAGCCACACUGGAACUGAGACACGGUCCAGACUCCUACGGGAGGCAGCAGUGGGGAAUAUUGCACAAUGGGCGCAAGCCUGAUGCAGCCAUGCCGCGUGUAUGAAGAAGGCCUUCGGGUUGUAAAGUACUUUCAGCGGGGAGGAAGGGAGUAAAGUUAAUACCUUUGCUCAUUGACGUUACCCGCAGAAGAAGCACCGGCUAACUCCGUG
RNAcentral lists this ribosomal RNA (490 nucleotides) under uncultured bacterium. RNAcentral's name for it is "partial 16S ribosomal RNA". It matches the Rfam family "Bacterial small subunit ribosomal RNA", at positions 30 to 507 of the family's 1533-position model. The record is from RNAcentral.